GAUGAACGCUGACAGAAUGCUUAACACAUCAGCAAUUGAUUGGUGGCGGACGGGUGAGUAACGCGUAAAGAACUUGCCUCACAGCUAGGGACAACAUUUAGAAAUGAAUGCUAAUACCUGAUACUGUGAGAGAGCUUUGCGUCCCAUUAGCUAGUUGGAGAGGUAACAGCUCACGAAGGCGAUGAUGGGUAGCCGGCCUGAGAGGGUGAACGGCUACAAGGUGAAUGAGACACGGCCCAUACGCCUACGGGGGGCAGGAGUGGGGAGUAUUGGGCAAUGGACAGAAGUCUGAUCCAGCAGUUCUGUGUGCACGAUGAAGUUUUCGGAAUGUAAAGUGCUUUCAGUUGGGGAGCAGUACCAACCGAAGAAGUGACGGCUAAAUACGUGCCAGCAGCCGCGGUAAUAC
This 406-nucleotide ribosomal RNA is filed under the name uncultured bacterium. Its description in RNAcentral is "partial 16S ribosomal RNA". It matches the Rfam family "Bacterial small subunit ribosomal RNA", at positions 28 to 526 of the family's 1533-position model. The record is from RNAcentral.